GUUUUCCUACGUAACAAACCUGCACAUCCUGCACAUGUAUCCUGGAACUUAAAAUAAAAUAAAAUAAAAUUUUUAAAAAGAAUAAAUAAAUAGCAGCCUAGUCCAAAGACGUUUACAUCCUGGAAGAGAACUUGCUGGCUUUUCACCUCAGCAUGUAUGGGCCAAACUAAUAUAACAAGAAGUCUUGAGAGGAGUCAGCGGCCAAGCUCCAUGUCUUGCAGCCAAACAAUGCUGUGGGAUGGAAGGUGGGAUGUCAUGUGUCUGGUUUACAGCACUCACGUAUCAGUUGGCAGUUAACGGAAGUGCUACUGAUUGGUGAUAUGCCUACUCCCCCUUCACCUUCGAUCAUGAUUGUAAACUUCGUGAGGACAUCACCAAAGGCUGACAUUGGCAACAUGCUUCCUGUACAAUCUGCAGAACAACGAUGGAACAAAAUAAACACCUUUUCUUUAUAAAUUA
This 459-nucleotide long non-coding RNA is filed under the name Homo sapiens (human). RNAcentral's name for it is "non-protein coding LINC02223:13". Lineage: Eukaryota; Metazoa; Chordata; Mammalia; Primates; Hominidae. The record is from RNAcentral.